RNAcentral lists this ribosomal RNA (791 nucleotides) under Cryptosporidium andersoni. RNAcentral's name for it is "SSU rRNA". It matches the Rfam family "Eukaryotic small subunit ribosomal RNA", at positions 236 to 1063 of the family's 1831-position model. The record is from RNAcentral. Lineage: Eukaryota; Apicomplexa; Conoidasida; Eucoccidiorida; Cryptosporidiidae.
AAUGAGCUUGGUGAUUCAUAAUAACUUUACGGAUCGCAUCUCUGAUGCGACAUAUCAUUCAAGUUUCUGACCUAUCAGCUUUAGACGGUAGGGUAUUGGCCUACCGUGGCUAUGACGGGUAACGGGGAAUUAGGGUUCGAUUCCGGAGAGGGAGCCUGAGAAACGGCUACCACAUCUAAGGAAGGCAGCAGGCGCGCAAAUUACCCAAUCCUGGCACAGGGAGGUAGUGACAAGAAAUAACAAUACAGGGCCUAACGGUCUUGUAAUUGGAAUGAGUGAAGUAUAAACCCCUUUACGAGUAUCAAUUGGAGGGCAAGUCUGGUGCCAGCAGCCGCGGUAAUUCCAGCUCCAAUAGCGUAUAUUAAAGUUGUUGCAGUUAAAAAGCUCGUAGUUGGAUUUCUGUUGUAUAAUUUUAUAAUAUUACCAAGGUAAUUAUUAUAUUAUCAACAUCCUUCCUAUUAUAUUCUAAAUAUAUAGGAAAUUUUACUUUGAGAAAAUUAGAGUGCUUAAAGCAGGCAACUGCCUUGAAUACUCCAGCAUGGAAUAAUAAGUAAGGACUUUUGUCUUUCUUAUUGGUUCUAGGACAAAAGUAAUGGUUAAUAGGGACAGUUGGGGGCAUUCGUAUUUAACAGCCAGAGGUGAAAUUCUUAGAUUUGUUAAAGACGAACUACUGCGAAAGCAUUUGCCAAGGAUGUUUUCAUUAAUCAAGAACGAAAGUUAGGGGAUCGAAGACGAUCGGAUACCGUCGUAGUCUUAACCAUAAACUAUGCCGACUAGAGAUUGGAGGUUGU